This 740-nucleotide ribosomal RNA is filed under the name uncultured archaeon. RNAcentral describes it as "bacterial SSU rRNA". It matches the Rfam family "Archaeal small subunit ribosomal RNA", at positions 66 to 810 of the family's 1478-position model. The record is from RNAcentral.
AUUGUAGCAUACAAGGCAUACGGCUCAGUAACGCGUAGUCAACCUAACCUAUGGACGGGAAUAACCUCGGGAAACUGAGAAUAAUGCCCGAUAGAACACUAUACCUGGAAUGGUUUGUGUUCCAAAUGAUUUAUCGCCAUAGGAUGGGACUGCGGCCUAUCAGUUUGUUGGUGAGGUAAUGGCCCACCAAGACUAUUACAGGUACGGGCUCUGAGAGGAGUAGCCCGGAGAUGGGUACUGAGACACGGACCCAGGCCCUAUGGGGCGCAGCAGGCGAGAAAACUUUGCAAUGUGCGAAAGCACGACAAGGUUAAUCCGAGUGAUUUGUGCUAAACGAAUCUUUUGUUAGUCCUAGAAACACUAACGAAUAAGGGGUGGGCAAGUUCUGGUGUCAGCCGCCGCGGUAAAACCAGCACCUCAAGUGGUCAGGAUGAUUAUUGGGCCUAAAGCAUCCGUAGCCGGCUCUGUAAGUUUUCGGUUAAAUCUGUACGCUUAACGUACAGGCUGCCGGGAAUACUGCAGAGCUAGGGAGUGGGAGAGGUAGACGGUACUCGGUAGGAAGUGGUAAAAUGCUUUGAUCUAUCGAUGACCACCUGUGGCGAACGCGGUCUACCAGAACACGUCCGACGGUGAGGGAUGAAAGCUGGGGGAGCAAACCGGGAUUAGAUACCUGGUUAGUCCAGCUGUAACUAAUGCAACUCAGUGAUGCAUGUCUGUGUCGAUGCCAGUGCUGCAGGUCA